GCUGGCGCUGCUUACCUGCAGUCGAACGAUGAUGAAGAGCUUGCUCUUCGGAUUAGUGGCGAACGGGUGAGUAACACGUGAGUAACCUGCCCUUGACUCUGGGAUAAGCGUUGGAAACGACGUCUAAUACCGGAUACGAACCGCGAAGGCAUCUUCAGUGGUUGGAAAGAAUUUUGGUCAAGGAUGGACUCGCGGCCUAUCAGGUAGUUGGUGAGGUAAUGGCUCACCAAGCCUACGACGGGUAGCCGGCCUGAGAGGGUGACCGGCCACACUGGGACUGAGACACGGCCCAGACUCCUACGGGAGGCAGCAGUGGGGAAUAUUGCACAAUGGGCGAAAGCCUGAUGCAGCAACGCCGCGUGAGGGACGACGGCCUUCGGGUUGUAAACCUCUUUUAGCAGGGAAGAAGCGAAAGUGACGGUACCUGCAGAAAAAGCACCGGCUAACUACGUGCCAGCAGCCGCGGUAAUACGUAGGGUGCAAGCGUUGUCCGGAAUUAUUGGGCGUAAAGAGCUCGUAGGCGGUUUGUCGCGUCUGCUGUGAAAACUGGAGGCUCAACCUCCAGCCUGCAGUGGGUACGGGCAGACUAGAGUGCGGUAGGGGAGAUUGGAAUUCCUGGUGUAGCGGUGGAAUGCGCAGAUAUCAGGAGGAACACCGAUGGCGAAGGCAGAUCUCUGGGCCGUAACUGACGCUGAGGAGCGAAAGGGUGGGGAGCAAACAGGCUUAGAUACCCUGGUAGUCCACCCCGUAAACGUUGGGAACUAGAUGUGGGGACCAUUCCACGGUCUCCGUGUCGCAGCUAACGCAUUAAGUUCCCCGCCUGGGGAGUACGGCCGCAAGGCUAAAACUCAAAGGAAUUGACGGGGGCCCGCACAAGCGGCGGAGCAUGCGGAUUAAUUCGAUGCAACGCGAAGAACCUUACCAAGGCUUGACAUAUACGAGAACGCACGAGAGAUCGUGCACUCUUUGGACACUCGUAUACAGGUGGUGCAUGGUUGUCGUCAGCUCGUGUCGUGAGAUGUUGGGUUAAGUCCCGCAACGAGCGCAACCCUCGUUCUAUGUUGCCAGCACGUAAUGGUGGGAACUCAUGGGAUACUGCCGGGGUCAACUCGGAGGAAGGUGGGGACGACGUCAAAUCAUCAUGCCCCUUAUGUCUUGGGCUUCACGCAUGCUACAAUGGCCAGUACAAAGGGCUGCAAUACCGUAAGGUGGAGCGAAUCCCAAAAAGCUGGUCCCAGUUCGGAUUGAGGUCUGCAACUCGACCUCAUGAAGUCGGAGUCGCUAGUAAUCGCAGAUCAGCAACGCUGCGGUGAAUACGUUCCCGGGCCUUGUACACACCGCCCGUCAAGUCAUGAAAGUCGGUAACACCCGAAGCCGGUGGCCUAACCCUUUAUGGGAAGGAGCUGUCUAAGUGGAUA
RNAcentral lists this ribosomal RNA (1418 nucleotides) under Mycetocola zhujimingii. RNAcentral describes it as "bacterial SSU rRNA". It matches the Rfam family "Bacterial small subunit ribosomal RNA". Lineage: Bacteria; Bacillati; Actinomycetota; Actinomycetes; Micrococcales; Microbacteriaceae. The record is from RNAcentral.